This 423-nucleotide ribosomal RNA is filed under the name Triticum aestivum (bread wheat). Its description in RNAcentral is "partial small subunit ribosomal RNA". Lineage: Eukaryota; Viridiplantae; Streptophyta; Magnoliopsida; Poales; Poaceae. The record is from RNAcentral.
AAGAUCAUCUUUUGGAACAUGCGCGGCCUCAACAGCGGAGCCAAAUGCGCGGUCGUUCGCUCUAUAAUCGCUUCAGUGUCCCCUUGUAUCGUUUGCCUCUAGGAAUCUAAACUCGCUUUGGUAUCGCCUGCGCUUGUACAUGAAACGCUUGGCCCCGCUUUUGACAGUUUCUUUUGGCUACCCACAGAUGGCACCCGCGGUGGCAUCAUUCUCGCUUGGAACAGCGCAGUGAUCUCCCUUACCAACCCGGUUGUCGGCGACCACCAUGUCUCGACUGUGUUGUCCUCCACUACUGGCGGCGCCAACUGGUGGAUCACCGGUGUGUAUGGACCCAAGGGGAUGACGCCAAGAUCGCCUUCCUCGACGAGUGUUGGUGUCAAAACCGGCGGAUCUUCGGUAGGGGGUCCCGAACUAUGCGUCUAG